This 261-nucleotide ribosomal RNA is filed under the name uncultured archaeon. Its description in RNAcentral is "partial 16S ribosomal RNA". It matches the Rfam family "Archaeal small subunit ribosomal RNA", at positions 748 to 1008 of the family's 1478-position model. The record is from RNAcentral.
CAGCCGUAAACUAUGCGCGUUAGGUGUAUCGGUGACCACGAGUUACCGAGGUGCCGAAGGGAAACCGUGAAACGUGCCGCCUGGGAAGUACGGUCGCAAGGCUGAAACUUAAAGGAAUUGGCGGGGGAGCACCUCAACGGGUGGAGCCUGCGGUUUAAUUGGACUCAACGCCGGAAAUCUCACCGGAUAGGACAGACAUAUGAUAGUCGGGCUGAAGACUCUACUUGAUGAUCUGAGAGGAGGUGCAUGGCGUCAGUGACU